RNAcentral lists this ribosomal RNA (521 nucleotides) under uncultured bacterium. RNAcentral describes it as "bacterial SSU rRNA". It matches the Rfam family "Bacterial small subunit ribosomal RNA", at positions 353 to 885 of the family's 1533-position model. The record is from RNAcentral.
AGUGGGGAAUAUUGGACAAUGGGCGAAAGCCUGAUCCAGCAACGCCGCGUGAGGGAUGACGGCCUUCGGGUUGUAAACCUCUUUCAGUAGGGACGAAGCGAAAGUGACGGUACCUACAGAAGAAGGACCGGCCAACUACGUGCCAGCAGCCGCGGUAAUACGUAGGGUCCGAGCGUUGUCCGGAAUUAUUGGGCGUAAAGGGCUCGUAGGCGGUUUGUCGCGUCGGGAGUGAAAACUCAGGGCUCAACCCUGAGCGUGCUUCCGAUACGGGCAGACUAGAGGUAUGCAGGGGAGAACGGAAUUCCUGGUGUAGCGGUGGAAUGCGCAGAUAUCAGGAGGAACACCGGUGGCGAAGGCGGUUCUCUGGGCAUUACCUGACGCUGAGGAGCGAAAGCAUGGGGAGCGAACAGGAUUAGAUACCCUGGUAGUCCAUGCCGUAAACGUUGGGCGCUAGGUGUGGGGACCUUCCACGGUCUCCGUGCCGCAGCUAACGCAUUAAGCGCCCCGCCUGGGGAGUACGG